AGUGAACGCUGGCGGUAGGCCUAACACAUGCAAGUCGAACGGCAGCACAGUAAAAGCUUGCUCUUACGGGUGGCGAGUGGCGGACGGGUGAGGAAUACAUCGGAAUCUACUUUUUCGUGGGGGGUAACGUAGGGAAACUUACGCUAAUACCGCAUACGACCUACGGGUGAAAGCAGGGGAUCUUCGGACCUUGCGCGAUUGAAUGAGCCGAUGUCGGAUUAGCUAGUUGGCGGGGUAAAGGCCCACCAAGGCGACGAUCCGUAGCUGGUCUGAGAGGAUGAUCAGCCACACUGGAACUGAGGCACGGUCCAGACUCCUACGGGAGGCAGCAGUGGGGAAUAUUGGACAAUGGGCGCAAGCCUGAUCCAGCCAUACCGCGUGGGUGAAGAAGGCCUUCGGGUUGUAAAGCCCUUUUGUUGGGAAAGAAAAGCAGCAGGUUAAUACCCCGCUGUUCUGACGGUACCCAAAGAAUAAGCACCGGCUAACUUCGUG
This 492-nucleotide ribosomal RNA is filed under the name uncultured bacterium. RNAcentral describes it as "partial 16S ribosomal RNA". It matches the Rfam family "Bacterial small subunit ribosomal RNA", at positions 29 to 507 of the family's 1533-position model. The record is from RNAcentral.